GAUGAAGAAUGUAGCGAAAUGCGAUACGUAAUGUGAAUUGCAGAAUUCAGUGAAUCAUCGAAUCUUUGAACGCAUAUUGCGCUCUCUGGUAUUCCGGAGAGCAUGUUUGUUUGAGUAUCAGUAAACACCUCAACUCCCUUUUCUUUUUUGAAAUGGGAGCUGGACUUGAGUGAUCCCAACACUUUUCUCACUGGAAAGUGGCGGGUCACUUGAAAUGCAGGUGCAGCUGGACUUUUCUCUGAGCUAUAAGCAUAUCUAUUUAGUCUGCCUAAAAAACAGAUUAUUACCUUUGCUGCAGCUAACAUAAAGGAGAUGAGUUCUUGUGCUGACUGAUGCAGGAUUCACAGAGACAGCUUUGCGGCUGACUUUGUAAACUCGAUCUCAAAUCAAGUAAGACUACCCGCUGAACUUAAGCAUAUCAAUAAGCGGAGGA
Molecule: unclassified non-coding RNA, 433 nt
Filed under: soil metagenome
Description: partial contains 5.8S ribosomal RNA, internal transcribed spacer 2, and large subunit ribosomal RNA
Rfam family: 5.8S ribosomal RNA (bases 1-120)
Source: RNAcentral